RNAcentral lists this transfer RNA (72 nucleotides) under Sus scrofa (pig). It matches the Rfam family "tRNA". From Rfam's summary of the family: Transfer RNA (tRNA) molecules are approximately 80 nucleotides in length. The record is from Rfam by way of RNAcentral. Lineage: Eukaryota; Metazoa; Chordata; Mammalia; Artiodactyla; Suidae.
UCCCCUGUGGUCUAGUGGUUAGGAUUCUGUGCUUUCAACACUGUGGCCUGGGUUUAAUUCCUGGUCUGAGAA